RNAcentral lists this ribosomal RNA (253 nucleotides) under uncultured bacterium. RNAcentral describes it as "partial 16S ribosomal RNA". It matches the Rfam family "Bacterial small subunit ribosomal RNA", at positions 524 to 776 of the family's 1533-position model. The record is from RNAcentral.
UACGUAGGGUGCGAGCGUUGUCCGGAAUUAUUGGGCGUAAAGAGCUUGUAGGCGGUUUGUCACGUUGUUCGUGAAAACCCACAGCUCAACUGUGGGCGUGCGAGCGAUACGGGCAGACUAGAGUACUGCAGGGGAGACUGGAAUUCCUGGUGUAGCGGUGGAAUGCGCAGAUAUCAGGAGGAACACCGGUGGCGAAGGCGGGUCUCUGGGCAGUAACUGACGCUGAGGAGCGAAAGCGUGGGGAGCGAACAGG